UUGUUCUAAAUAUUCCAUCCCGCAGCCUCAAUCUGACUCAACCGAUCUUAGCAAUAUGGAAAAAUUUGUAGUUUUCCAUUACAACUCCACCUUACUGAGCAGCCUCAUAUGUCUGAAAUAAAUUCCUAUCAGAACACAUAUGGUACGAACAUGUUGAAUCAAUAAUCCACUCCUCGUCAGGCAUAGACUCCAUAUUAGAUACCACAAUCAACUUUACCUAGUUACUAUCUGAACAAUUCUCAACUACAUUGAUUUUCAUCUGAAUUCAAAGGUUGCACCCCACGAUUUCAGUUAAAUCACCUUUAGCUUGUAACAUAUCACAAUCCUUUCGAAUAUGUCCUUUUCUUUUGUAGAAGUAACAUGUCACAUUACUAAAUCUAACCCUCGAUCUGCCUCUUCGUCGACCACUUUGAGAUAUAAGAGCUUCCCCAUCCCUUGAUGUAGCUCCAACCAAAUGCUUCAUCUUCUCAUUUGAGUGCAAAGCAUCAUAAACAUCUUUAUAGUCAAACUAUCUCCACUAUACAAGAUAGUAUCCCAAAAUAAUGCAUAAGACCUAAGCAGCGAACACAACAAGAUCAAGGCAAGAUCCUCUUCAUCAACUAUUUCCUUGAACACAGCAAUGUGAUCUUCCAAUGAUCCUCCUUCCGCCAUGCAAUGGGAAUACAUCUUCUGCUUAAGAGCCAGUUUACUUGUAAGACUCUUAGUCAUACACAACUACUCUAGUCGCAACCACAAAGCAACCGUCGUCUUCUCCUUCAAGACAUUUUGCAGAAUAUUGUUGGAUAAAAAAAGAUGAAUCAACGACAUAGCCUUUCGAUCCUUUCACUAUUUUUCCUUCGUUGUCCAUCCAGCUGGCAUCCUGUCAAAAUCUCACAACGCAUCUUCCAAACCCAACUGUGCCGAACAACCCUCAUCUUUACUUGCCACAACAAGAACCUUGUACUACAAUCUAAUUGCGGAAUAUCAUACUUCAACCCAACUAUCUCGAAAAAAAUCUCAACCAAUCCGUAGAAAUUCAACGGCCUCGUUCUAACACCACUUGUUUGGUGCGAAAGCUCCAAUAACAUUAGUUGAUUCCAAAUCAGAUUUUAAGGAAUGAGAUUAUAAGACAAUAUUGAAGUAAACAAGAUCACACAACGAAAAAAGGUUUAAAUUGUAAAGAGGAACAAAAGGAUUAACAUAGAGAAACGAUGUUUAUUGAAUCAACAAUAUGGAGAAUACAAAGCAAUCUAGCAAUUGGCUUAGAACUGACAGAAGAGUCUUGUAUUUAGAGGCCAACCUUAUAAGAGUCCUAAAAGGCAACAAAAUAUAUUAAAAUUAGGAGACCGAAUUUUAACAUAAUUUUGUUUCCUUUU
This 1355-nucleotide long non-coding RNA is filed under the name Olea europaea subsp. europaea. Lineage: Eukaryota; Viridiplantae; Streptophyta; Magnoliopsida; Lamiales; Oleaceae. The record is from RNAcentral.